This is a long non-coding RNA of Nyctereutes procyonoides (raccoon dog), 582 nucleotides long. RefSeq lists it as uncharacterized. The record is from RefSeq and is a predicted model, not a curated record. The transcript has 3 exons. NCBI's taxonomy places the organism in Eukaryota, Metazoa, Chordata, Mammalia, Carnivora, Canidae.
UCUGCAGCUCUUCUAAGCACAGUUACUUGCUCAGCCUGGCAGCAAUUGCCAUUCGCUUCUAUUUUCCUCUGUUUCCCUUCCUGCUUUUGUUCUGCUUGUUAACUGCGCUUCAACCAGGUGUCUCCCCACCAGCACCCUUUGUUUCCUGACUGGACUUUGAAAGGAGGCUACCCUCUUGCCCUUCUUCGGUGGAACAAAACAGACAAAAUAUGCAGAUUCUUAACUCAACACACCACAUUGAAUAGCAUGUGGAAAAUUGGCAUUUCCAGUGAAUAAAAAUUAACUGGCAAACAACAAAAGGAAAAACGGAGGAAUGCUGUUGGAUGCUGUUUGGCUCGUCUUGUCUUGUCAGAGAAGGAACACGUGUGAAUCAAAUGGUUGAAGAUGAAUUUUACCUACACGUCUGGCUCCUGUUCAGAUGUUUUAGAUUUCUUAGUUAACUUUAUUUGCUUGAGCCAGAAAUUCAAUUUUGAAGAAAGAAAUGAAAUUUUUCUCCCAGUGAUUUCAUCAUCUUAAUGAGUUUCUGUUAGAAGUUGACAAUAUCUUUCUGAAGACAAAUAUUUCUACAGAACCAAAAUAAGA